GACGAACGCUGGCGGCGUGCCUAAUACAUGCAAGUUGAGCGCUGAAGGUUGGUACUUGUACCAACUGGAUGAGCAGCGAACGGGUGAGUAACGCGUGGGGAAUCUGCCUUUGAGCGGGGGACAACAUUUGGAAACGAAUGCUAAUACCGCAUAAAAACUUUAAACACAAGUUUUAAGUUUGAAAUAUGCAAUUGCAUCACUCAAAGAUGAUCCCGCGUUGUAUUAGCUAGUUGGUGAGGUAAAGGCUCACCAAGGCGAUGAUACAUAGCCGACCUGAGAGGGUGGUCGGCCACACUGGGACUGAGACACGGCCCAAACUCCUACGGGAGGCAGCAGUACGGAAUCGUCAGCAAUGGACGAAAGUCUGACCAAGCAACGCCGCGUGAGUGAAGAAGGUUUUCGGAUCGUAAAACUCUGUUGGUAGGGAAGAACGUUGGUGAGAGUGGAAAGCUCAUCAAGUGACGGUAACUACCCAGAAAGGGACGGCUAACUACGUG
This 497-nucleotide ribosomal RNA is filed under the name uncultured bacterium. Its description in RNAcentral is "partial 16S ribosomal RNA". It matches the Rfam family "Bacterial small subunit ribosomal RNA", at positions 28 to 507 of the family's 1533-position model. The record is from RNAcentral.